Sinocyclocheilus anshuiensis is the source of this 1028-nucleotide long non-coding RNA. RefSeq lists it as uncharacterized. The transcript is spliced from 2 exons. The record is from RefSeq and is a predicted model, not a curated record. Lineage: Eukaryota; Metazoa; Chordata; Actinopteri; Cypriniformes; Cyprinidae.
CACACCCUAACCUCGGUGGGAAGCCGUGUUUGAAGCUAAAGGUGUACGUCAAGCCUACCAAUGACUCUCUGUACGAGUCUCCAGAGCCGUUCCUGACAGAUGACUCCAGCGGUGGUUGGGCAUUAACGCCCAAUCUGUGGCUCAUGCUUCCGCUGCUUCUGCUCCUGUGUCCCUCAUAGCAUUAUCACCCUCUGAGCAUGACCACGCCCACCCAACCUGCCCCGCCCCACCCCAUCAUGCAUCACAAUGACAUGCCACGCCCCUUCAGUUCUGGAGUCCAGCCAACAGACGUUGAUAUGGAUUUUUACCCAGCCUGCAACCCUGCAGGACAGCCACUAACCAGCCCUCAAUUAUGCCCCGCCCAAAUGCCCAAAUUUGUGCAUUCCUGCAUCAGCGCUCUUGCUCCACUGACAAAAGACAUGUGAAUUGGCCAGCUUUUUUGAGAGCGCUCUACUUUUCUGCCAACAUCCCACCAUCAUCCGCGUGUCAGGAGAUAGAUUCAACCGACUGCCAUCUGAAUCGCUCUGUUUGUCUGCGUUAACCACCUACCUGAGCCUUCACUGUCAUCUGAGCUCAAUUUUCACGUUUGUGAGAGCGUGUGCGAGUGUUGAUGCUCGUGUGUGUUUGUGCUCGUUGGUGCGCGUAUGCCGAUGUUCGCAUAUGAACAAAUGUACAGAGCAGUCACAGUCCCUUACAAAAUUACUAGAAAAACUUGUUCCAUUACUCAUUGAGAGAAGAAGACAAUUCUAUCUGUGAAUCUGCCAAAGACACUACUUAAACUUUUUUAAGGGAAAAUACUGGCUUUGAUAGGAGAUUACAUGCAACCAUGGAACAUUUCAGGCUUUUAGAGUCAUGGGAGGGGAGUGACAGACAACAGUGUAGAUUUUUCUAUUAUAAUCUUUUUUUGUCAUACAAAAAAGAAACAAAAAAAACAAGAAUGUUGCAUAGAUUUUAAAAAAAAAAAACAGCUCAAAAUUGCCUUUUUUCACUGGUGCUUAAUCUGAAAUGAGCUUGUCUGUCUUGAACUG